CUUGGAUCAUGGUUUCUUUUAUCUCCGGAAUCAUGGGGUGGAGGAAAAAUUGCCUUUGUUACACUAUCCAGGUGGAGAUUCCUCUCCUAAUGAAGAGACGUAGGGUGCUUCUGCUCAUCCAUUGCAAGUGAUAGGGUAUUAGAGACGCACGCAUUUGGACUCCCAAAAUUUAUUGAGCUUAGACGUCCACCCAUCCGUAGCUUGGACUACCUGGAAGAACGCUUUAGAGUUGACACCCAUGGCUGGCUUCCACUGAAAGUCAUGCAAUAUUUCCCCUGAUUCACUGCUGCACUUUAUUCCUUAUCAAAGCUUUCUGCUGCUAAAGAAAUUGCAAAUACUGCAAUAUUAUUACUUCACAGCUAGCUGCAGGCCUCAGUAAUGAUGAAGUAAUUGUCACACUCCAAAGAGAAGGGAUGAAAUUUCUCUUAAUUAUUAGUAUAUAUCGAUCAUUGCAAAUUUUAUGCAUUAAACCAAGUCCUUAUAUUUUGUUUGCAUUAAACAAUUUUUGGGUUGCAAAUUUUUCUGGAUUUGACCUGCAGAGACUGAAACCCGAGUUUGGUCAAAGUCGGUGCGCUUAGAUUUUUCCAUUGUUCUGGCCCAGGAGAAGGACUUGCCUGAAAACCCGGAAGCUACUUGGAACGAGUGAAGAUAGUUCCCAGUUUACUUGGAAGAAUGAUUCACAGUGACACGUGUCAGCUAAUAAAGUCUACAUAGUGCCUCCUUCCAAUCCUCUUGGUGGAGAAAAUAUGGGAUGUCACAGUUUCACGGUGAGAAGGUGAAGAAAGAAAAUGCCAAUCAAACUAUAGGAAAAUGAACAAAGAAAAAUCACUUUUGUGGUUGAAGUUGAAUCAUAGCCCUACCUCUGCUGUGGAUAAUCACGUGGACUGCAACCAUGGUGUCCUUAAAUUUUACGAGCCACACCUUAAACUCAUUGGAGACAGACAAUGAGACAAUGACAUUUGGACAACACGUUUUGUCUUUUCUUUUUUUUCUCCUGUUCUUUUUCUAGUUUUUAUUUUAUCAAAUUAAACAAGACAAUUUAAAUUAAAUUUAAAAGGGAUAUAUAAACAUUGGGUAAGGUUGGAAAUGAACCAAAGAGAAAAAAAGAA
Non-coding RNA from Theobroma umbraticum, 1109 nucleotides. The record is from RefSeq and is a predicted model, not a curated record. Lineage: Eukaryota; Viridiplantae; Streptophyta; Magnoliopsida; Malvales; Malvaceae.